This 1260-nucleotide ribosomal RNA is filed under the name Metaphire tosaensis. RNAcentral describes it as "l-rRNA". The stretch from base 562 to 1260 matches the Rfam family "Archaeal large subunit ribosomal RNA", at positions 1423 to 2966 of the family's 2987-position model. Lineage: Eukaryota; Metazoa; Annelida; Clitellata; Crassiclitellata; Megascolecidae. The record is from RNAcentral.
GCACAUAAUGAAUAAUCUUAUAAUAUUACCCAAUAAUAAAAACAAAUAAAUAAAACUUAACAAAUAACAAGUACAGAAGUGGAAAUAUAAAUAAAUAAAAGUAAAUAUUAACAAAUGUACCUUGUGCAUUAUGGUUUUACAAGAAAAUAAUUAAAUAUUAAAAUCCCGAAUUCUAAAUGAGAUGUUAAACUGCUGUUAAGAACCCAUUAAUAACUGUGGAAAAAGCUUUAAAAGACAGUUUAACAGAGGCUACAUACCAUCCGCAUAAGAAUAUAGCUGGUUUUCAACAAACAUUAUACAUUAAGACAUAUAAUCAUAUUAUAGUGUAAUAUUAUUGAGGACAAGCCCAAUAAUCAUAGCAAUAUUAAUACUACACCAGUUAACAUAAAUAGGCCUAAAACCAGCCAAUAAAAAUACUUCACCGUAACAAAUAAAGGUCCAAUACAUAAAUAAUAAAUGCUAAAGAAAGUUGAAAUAGUGGGCAAAUACUCAAACCCACCCAUACUAUGUAAAAAUAAGUAUUAUAUAAAUAUAGCAACAACAACCUAGUUAUCAACAAAAUAUACAAACACAAUAAUUAAUUAAGGAACUCGGCAAACCAUUAUUUCGACUGUUUAACAAAAACAUUGUCUCAUGAACCAAAUAUGAGAUAAUACCUGCCCAGUGACACAUGUUCAACGGCCGCGGUAUCCUAACCGUGCAAAGGUAGCAUAAUCACUUGCCUAUUAAUUGUAGGCUAGAAUGAACGGGUUAACGAAAUAAAGACUGUCUCAAUUAAUUACCUAAAAAUUAUUAUUUAUCCGAAGAAAGAUAGAUAACCUCGAAGGACAAGAAGACCCUAUAGAGCUUAAUUUAAAUUAUAGAAUUAAACUAUAAAAAUAUUCGGUUGGGGCGACCCAGGGCUAAACAAUCACCCACUAUAUAUAAGAUAAAUAAAUCAAAUAACUGACCCUUAAAAGAUCACAAGACCAAGCUACCUUAGGGAUAACAGGCUAAUCCCACUCAAGAGUCCUUAUCAACAGUGGGGUUUGGCACCUCGAUGUUGGCUUAGGGUAUCUAUAUAGCGCAAAAGUUAUAUAAAGAUGGUUUGUUCAACCAGUAAUUUCCCUACAUGAGCUGAGUUCAGACCGGCGUAAGCCAGGUUAGCUUCUAUCCUCGACCACACCAAUCUACUCCUAGUACGAAAGGACCUGAGUAGAGUAAUAAUUAUAUAAAAGAACCCAUAUAACUAAAUAUAAACAAACCACAUCAAACACUAUG